GACGAACGCUGGCGGCGUGCCUAAUACAUGCAAGUAGAACGCUGAAGGAGGAGCUUGCUUCUCUGGAUGAGUUGCGAACGGGUGAGUAACGCGUAGGUAACCUGCCUGGUAGCGGGGGAUAACUAUUGGAAACGAUAGCUAAUACCGCAUAAGAGUAGAUGUUGCAUGACAUUUGCUUAAAAGGUGCAAUUGCAUCACUACCAGAUGGACCUGCGUUGUAUUAGCUAGUUGGUGGGGUAACGGCUCACCAAGGCGACGAUACAUAGCCGACCUGAGAGGGGGAUCGGCCACACUGGGACUGAGACACGGCCCAGACUCCUACGGGAGGCAGCAGUAGGGAAUCUUCGGCAAUGGACGGAAGUCUGACCGAGCAACGCCGCGUGAGUGAAGAAGGUUUUCGGAUCGUAAAGCUCUGUUGUAAGAGAAGAACGAGUGUGAGAGUGGAAAGUUCACACUGUGACGGUAUCUUACCAGAAAGGGUCGGCUAACUACGUG
RNAcentral lists this ribosomal RNA (495 nucleotides) under uncultured bacterium. RNAcentral's name for it is "partial 16S ribosomal RNA". It matches the Rfam family "Bacterial small subunit ribosomal RNA", at positions 28 to 507 of the family's 1533-position model. The record is from RNAcentral.